UACGGGGGGUGCGAGCGUUGUCCGGAAUCACUGGGCGUAAAGGGCGCGUAGGUGGUUUGAUAAGGCUGUGGUGAAAGCCCGGGGCUCAACCCCGGGUCUGCCGUGGCGACUGUCAGACUUGAGGGCUCGAGAGGCAGACGGAAUUCCGGGUGUAGCGGUGGAAUGCGUAGAUAUCAGGAGGAACACCGGUGGCGAAGGCGGCUUUCUGGACAGAUACCGACGCUGAGGCACGAAAGCUAGGGGAGCAAACAGG
This 253-nucleotide ribosomal RNA is filed under the name uncultured bacterium. Its description in RNAcentral is "partial 16S ribosomal RNA". It matches the Rfam family "Bacterial small subunit ribosomal RNA", at positions 524 to 776 of the family's 1533-position model. The record is from RNAcentral.